This 680-nucleotide ribosomal RNA is filed under the name uncultured bacterium. RNAcentral's name for it is "bacterial SSU rRNA". It matches the Rfam family "Bacterial small subunit ribosomal RNA", at positions 8 to 711 of the family's 1533-position model. The record is from RNAcentral.
AGAGUUUGAUCCUGGCUCAGGAUAAACGCUGGCGGCGUGCCUUAUGCAUGCAAGUCGUACGGUUCCGAUUUAUCGGGAUAGUGGCGAACGGGUGAGUAACACGUAAGUAACCUGCCCUUAAGUAGGGGAUAACCCUGAGAAAUCAGGGCUAAUACCGUAUGUUGUGGUGAAGGUAAGGCUUCAUUACUAAAGCCUUAGGGCGCUUAGGGAGGGGCUUGCGGCCGAUUAGCUAGUUGGUUAGGGUAAUGGCUUACCAAGGCGAUGAUCGGUAGCUGGUCUGAGAGGAUGGUCAGCCACACUGGGAUUGAGAUACGGCCCAGACUCCCAUGGGAGGCAGCAGCAAGGAAUUUUGUGCAAUGGGCGAAAGCCUGACACAGCGACGCCGCGUGGGGGAUGAAGGCCUUCGGGUUGUAAACCCCUUUUCUCAGGGAAGAAUAAUGACGGUACCUGAGGAAUAAGUCACGGCUAACUACGUGCCAGCAGCCGCGGUAAUACGUAAGUGGCGAGCGUUAUCCGGAUUUAUUGGGCGUAAAGAGGGCGCAGGCGGCUUUUCAAGUCGGGUGUAAAAUCUCCCAGCUUAACUGGGAGGGAUCAUUCGAUACUGUUAGGCUAGAGGGCAGCAAGGGGAGGUGGAAUUCCCGGUGUAGUGGUGAAAUGCGUAGAUAUCGGGAGGAACACCA